GAUGAACGCUGGCGGCGUGCCUAAUACAUGCAAGUCGAGCGAACGGACGAGAAGCUUUCUUCUCUGAUGUUAUCGGCGGACGGGUGAUUAACACGUGGAUAACCUACCUAUAAGACUGGGAUAACUUCGGGAAACCGGAGCUAAUACCGGAUAAUAUUUUGAACCUCAUGGUUCAAAAGUGAAAGACGGUCUUGCUGUCACUUAUAGAUGGAUCCGCGCUGCAUUAGCUAGUUGGUAAGGUAACGGCUUAACAAGGCAACGAUGCAUAGCCGACCUGAGAGGGUGAUCGGCCAGCCUGGAACUGAGACACGGUCCAGACUCCUACGGGAGGAAGCAGUAGGGAAUCUUCCGCAAUGGGGGAAAGCCUGACGGAGCAACGCCGCGUGAGUGAUGAAGGUCUUCGGAUCGUAAAACUCUGUUAUUAGGGAAGAACAUAUGUGUAAGUAACUGUGCGCAUCUUGACGGUACCUAAUCAGAAAGCCACGGCUAACUACGUG
RNAcentral lists this ribosomal RNA (497 nucleotides) under uncultured bacterium. Its description in RNAcentral is "partial 16S ribosomal RNA". It matches the Rfam family "Bacterial small subunit ribosomal RNA", at positions 28 to 507 of the family's 1533-position model. The record is from RNAcentral.